Molecule: small nucleolar RNA, 132 nt
Filed under: Labrus bergylta (ballan wrasse)
Lineage: Eukaryota; Metazoa; Chordata; Actinopteri; Labriformes; Labridae
Description: Small nucleolar RNA SNORA28 (ENSLBEG00000002417.1)
Source: RNAcentral
AAGCUACACUCUGUGUCAGAAGUCCUCUGGGAUGAUGAUCUGACUCAAUUUGAGCUUUGCCAUAAUAAACCAGUUUGUUUCUAAACAGCAUUUCCCCUUUGAUUGGAGAAAUGCAGGAGAGGCUGGAACAAG